Molecule: ribosomal RNA, 307 nt
Filed under: uncultured archaeon
Lineage: Archaea
Description: bacterial SSU rRNA
Rfam family: Archaeal small subunit ribosomal RNA
Source: RNAcentral
AUUCCCUCGGGGCGCAUGCGGCGCGCGAAAUAUCAAUGCAGGCAACUGCUGAUAGGGGAACAUACGAGUGCAUCCUCAUAUUGGGGUGUCUGUCCACCCGCCUAAAAAGCGGGGUUAGCAAGGGCCGGGACAAGACCGGUGCCAGCCGCCGCGUUAAUACCGGCGGCUCGAGUGGUGGCCUAUAUUAUUGAGUCUAAAGGGUCCGUAGCCGGCUUUGCAAGUCUCUCCGGAAAAUUCCAGGGCUUAACCCGUUGGUCGUUCGGGGGGGUACUACAUUCGUUUGGGACCUGGGAGAGAAGGAUACCAG